CAUACAAGUGGCAUGUCUUGUUGU
This 24-nucleotide small nuclear RNA is filed under the name Arabidopsis thaliana (thale cress). Its description in RNAcentral is "snRNA_00681". The record is from RNAcentral. Lineage: Eukaryota; Viridiplantae; Streptophyta; Magnoliopsida; Brassicales; Brassicaceae.